RNAcentral lists this unclassified non-coding RNA (1508 nucleotides) under Leishmania donovani. Its description in RNAcentral is "gene:LdHU3.09.1850(CDS-product:Cytochrome_b5-like _Heme/Steroid_binding_domain_containing_protein_putative)". The record is from RNAcentral. Lineage: Eukaryota; Euglenozoa; Kinetoplastea; Trypanosomatida; Trypanosomatidae.
CCGCAAGACACGUAGAAGACCAUCCAGCCAACAUAACAGCCUUGCAUCAUGUCUACCAAGUGCUUCCGCUUAGUUUACAUUGAGAAGCACAACAAGUUGGACGAUCUGUGGUUCAUCGUAGACUGUCACGUGUACAACGUCACGUCGUUCGCCGAGGAGCAUCCUGUCGGCCCCAGAAUCCUCCUCACAGUCGCCGGCGGAGAUGCGUCCAACGGCUUCAAGUCCGUCGGCGACUCUGACUCCGCCAAGGAGAUGGAGAAGCACUGUAUCGGCAAUUUCCACCCUGAUGAUGUGUGGCAGCUGAAGGAAUCUUUACAGGGACACAAUGCAGCGUCGCCGGGAUCGUCGCCGUCUUUAUCCUUAUCGGCAUCUGCUUCUGCUGUGUCCUUCGGACUCUGCUGUAAGACAGUGGAGGAAACACUCGUAGAACGUUUAGCGAAAGGAGAGCCAACUGCGUUGGCGUGCAGUUGAACCCAUCGUCACAGUGGUCGCUGUGAAGCAUGCUUUCAUCGUCACGCGAAGCACAGCCCACUCUUUUGCAGUUAAACCCCGUUUUAUCUUCUCUAAUUCGGUUGUUGUCCUCGUGGCGACGCCGCCAUUCUUCUUUGGAAAUCGUAGUCUUGGCGGCCAAGUCCGAAAGCACCGGAGGCGUUUGCAUGUGUGGUUUGUCCUGCUGAGAUUUUUCUUUGUUUCGUUUUGUUUGCUCUCCGUGUGAUCUACUCACGCGGCGCGCGUUCAUCUGAUCCCCUCCACCUCCCCGCUUGUCCUUCCUCUGAGACGCUCCUUAGCACCACUUUCAGAAACACCACAAUGUGUUUUGUGCGGCGCACCGCAGAAGCCCUUAGCGGAGAAGAGCGGAAGGGCACGAAGCAGGCGUUGUGCGCAGUGCACGCGACGUCCUCAUGAAAGAAAAACAUCAAAAGCUGCCAAUACGGAAAGUGGACGUGGAGUUACUCUCUUUCUCUGAUGCGACCUCAAAGGCCCUCAAUAGAGCCGAUGGAUAUCGUCUCGCUUCGGAGACACGCGAAAGACAGCCCCAGUGCGCAGACCGUCUGUGUCUGAGAGGGCGUGGAAGCAAAACUAGGAGAGGGAACGUAAGUUUGCUCGCCGCAGCGGUCGCUGGUCAACGAAGUUUUCUCGUGAUCGUUAUGGCGGCUCAAAUGUGGAGUCGCUGCCUCUCUUCCUGCGCGUGGCGGUUCCGGGACCACGAAGUAGCGCGGUGGUGAGGCGCUUUGCGUAGGUAAGCGUACUGGGAGUGCUGUGUGAGGCACUGACGCUGUUGUUCUUUCUCGUUUUCUCUCCCAAUGUUCUCGUCGUUAUGAUCGAUGGGUGACCACAUCCUACACUGCUUCUAACCUCCUACCUUUCUGUAAUCGUGGAUGUUUUACGCGCUUUCCCUGUGUUGUUGUACGUGCAACGUACGCCCUUAUCUGCGCAUCUGAGAGCGGUGUGUUCUCCGUAUCUCCUCAAUUUUCGGCGGCGUUUUAUUAUGCGUUUCCUUUACACAG